GAGGGGCCCGCGCCUGAUUAGCUAGUUGGUGGGGUAAUGGCCUACCAAGGCAACGAUCAGUAGCCGGCCUGAGAGGGUGACCGGCCACACUGGGACUGAGACACGGCCCAGACUCCUACGGGAGGCAGCAGUGGGGAAUAUUGCACAAUGGGCGCAAGCCUGAUGCAGCAACGCCGCGUGGGGGAUGAAGGCCUUCGGGUUGUAAACCUCUUUUAGCAGGGAAGAAGCCUUUGGGUGACGGUACCUGCAGAAAAAGCACCGGCUAACUACGUGCCAGCAGCCGCGGUAAUACGUAGGGUGCGAGCGUUGUCCGGAAUUAUUGGGCGUAAAGAGCUCGUAGGCGGUCUGUCGCGUCUGCUGUGAAAACCCGAGGCUCAACCUCGGGCCUACAGUGGGUACGGGCAGACUAGAGUGCGGUAGGGGAGAAUGGAACUCCUGGUGUAGCGGUGGAAUGCGCAGAUAUCAGGAAGAACACCGAUGGCGAAGGCAGUUCUCUGGGCCGUAACUGACGCUGAGGAGCGAAAGCGUGGGGAGCGAACAGGAUUAGAUACCCUGGUAGUCCACGCCGUAAACGUUGGGCGCUAGAUGU
This 589-nucleotide ribosomal RNA is filed under the name uncultured Actinomycetes bacterium. RNAcentral's name for it is "bacterial SSU rRNA". It matches the Rfam family "Bacterial small subunit ribosomal RNA", at positions 224 to 823 of the family's 1533-position model. Lineage: Bacteria; Bacillati; Actinomycetota; Actinomycetes. The record is from RNAcentral.